Balaenoptera acutorostrata (minke whale) is the source of this 463-nucleotide long non-coding RNA. RefSeq lists it as uncharacterized. Lineage: Eukaryota; Metazoa; Chordata; Mammalia; Artiodactyla; Balaenopteridae. The transcript is spliced from 4 exons. The record is from RefSeq and is a predicted model, not a curated record.
UGAGAGGCCCGCGCACCGCGAUGAAGAGUGGCCCCCGCUUGCCGCAACUAGAGAAAGCCCUCGCACAGAAACGAAGACCCAACACAGCCAUAAAUAAAUAACCACUCUAGCAAAUUAAUUAAAGCCAAGGAGGAGGCUGUGGGAGUCUAUCAGAAGCACAGGUGACAACCUGGACUUGCGAUUGGCAUCUGAAGGAGGAGGGAUAGCCUUACAGGGCUGAGCCCUUAACCUGUGGAGUCUGAUGUUAUCUCCAGAAAUUCCUUUCCAAAAGAUGGCAAUCAGGGAUAUACUACAAAAGCAUCCUGUAACAGAAAUAAUGAGACUAAUGCUGGGAAAAAAUGAAGUUUCUUCAAGAAUGGGAGACCACUAAUUGAGAAGAAUUAAAAUCUAUAUUUUGUUUUGAUCAGACUGGAAACAUUUUGUUAUGGAAUUAGUUUCAAAUUGUAAAGUUUGGAAUGCUUCC